CCCUCAGCCCACUCCUCUCAGUUCCAUCUCCCCUCAGGACCAUCUCCCCUCAGCCUCAUCUCCCCUCAGCCCCAUCUCCCCCCACCCAUCUCCUCUCAGUUCCAUCUCCUCUCAUCCCAUUCCCCUCAGCCAUAUCUCCCCUCAGCCCACUCUUCUCAGCUCCAUCUCCCCUCAGCCCCAUCUUCCCUCAGCUUUUCCCAUGGGGGAGCGACUGUAACUGUUGGUGGAAACAGGCAGGAGUUAAUACAGUGGGUAACUAAUGGUGAAAGGAAAUCUCUCAGGACCUCAGCACAGGACUCAUUUUCAUUUUAGAUGUUUAUACAGAAGGCAGCACCUCCUGGUACAAGGGCAAGUCAUUCCCUCUGUCCCCUCUCCAGGCAACACUGGGACACGCACCAGCAAAUUUGUCACUGCCCCAGUCCCUUCCCAGCCUCACCGAUGGCUCGUCCACAGGCUCCCAGAGCUUCUGUUCGAUUACAGGAGCUGAAGUUCCACUCGCUGUAAAAGAAAUGGACACAAACAGAAAGCAUCCCAUCCUGCAUCCAGGGAGGAGGUUACAGUGUCAUCAGUCCAGUAGGGCCAGGUGGAGGUGUGAUAACCUUGGAGAAGUGAGUACAGAUCAUUGAAAACUAACAGAGGAUGAGCAAAUCCCCAGAAAGGAAUUAUUGUCUUCAUGUAGAUCCUGGAGUGGAAAUGUCAUUGGUUUUAUAUGAAGCUUGAGAGUGUCAUGUACAAGUAGAGUUCUACAAAACCCAGUUUGGAAGCCAAAUCUCAAAGUGCUCUGGCUGUUAAAAUACUGGAUGUGUCAAUGUUUGUUAUAACUAGAACAUCAGGAACCCCAGGCCUCCAACACCCUGCAAACCUGCAUUAACCUGACACCUUUUACAAGCUUUGAAAAGAAAUCACAGGAAUGCAGGCACAUCCCAGAGCAUCCUGCCAACGUGUUUACUCACUGCUGGGAUGAGCACACCCAAGAUGAGAAAGUUCUCUUAACCAUGACAGGAAACCAUUUUCCAUCACAGUCCUUUGGGUGUUUUACUAACACCGCAGGGGGCAGCUCUGCCUUCGGGACCUGCCAAGGACACCGAGGGCACCUGACGGUGGUGCAGGGGACAGCAGUGCCCAGCUGUGAUCCCUCCUGCCAGGGCACUGUGGGAGCAACACACGGCUGGAUUAAGUGACAGGAGCAGCGUCAGGGGAGGUGAGACACCUCCUGCCCUGGUUCUCUUGUCCUGUAACGUGCCUUGGACUGUGUUUGCCUGUGCUGUGCCACAACUGCCUUAGCACUGCAAGCACCUCAGCAGGGAUGUGUGGACACACUGUAAAUCAGAGGCAGAGGUGGAACUUGACCCAGUGAUGCAGAGAGCCAGUUCCUCAGCUCUAUCAAAUACACAUCCUGUAAUUGCACAGCCAUAUAUUGUUUCUUAGUGUAGUCAAGCACAAACUAUUUAAGGCAGGGAUUCCCUAUGCAUGUAAUUGUAUGUUAUAUAAGAAGAGUUAUGUGUCUAAUUGUUACUGGGAAAAAAAGAAGUAUAAGAAUAAUAAGUGGUAUGAUUCCUGCCUUCCCUAGUAGUGCCUGUUUUCCUUGAAGUAAUCAGGGACUUGUUGCUAGGUAGUUAAUAUUAAAGGUACCUUAAAUAUUUUAAUGUGUCUAUGCCAGCUGUUUCUAGGCAGCAAUAUUUGUUUAUGAUAUUGUUAUCCAACCCUACUUAUAUCCUUUAUUCAGUGUAAUCUAAUAUAUCCAUACAGUUAACACUGCAGUCCUGAUACUUCUUUAUUCACAGAGUAGCAUACUGAAGUAACUACUGUUAAGAAUUAUGGAAUACCUCUAAUGUACAAGAUUUAAUCUUAGUCAAGAUGCACUGGUAGCUACCAGUUCAAAUAUUUGAACCUGAAUUAAAUACUUAAAUAACACAAUUUGAAAAUUGGUAGUGCUUCUGUGCACUUUCAGCAUCAGCAGAUGCUUACAGAAUUCCAAAGUUUUAAAGUAAAUUAUACGAUUUCAGUCCAAUGCCUGAUUAAGGGUACGUGUCAUCAUUUCAUCAGUCCCUUGGAAAUAAAAAUUGCUGUAUUUUUGGCCAUUGGGUAACAUUGCUCUAGGUUUUCCUUGGUUUAAUCUCAUUUCUAUUAAAAAAAAAAAUAGAAAAACUCGCCUGGUUUAAAAAUUAUGGCUCUUACUAACAGAUUGUACACUCUGAGCUGUGCACUUGGAGAGGUGAGAGACUGCUGAUGACUCCUGUUCUUUGCCACAGAUCUAUAUGGGCUGUGGAAAACACAUUAUCUGCCUGCCAGCCCUGUGGGAAUUGCGUGAGGGAAUUAUUCCAGACACUGCUCAUUUCUGCAAAUGGAAGGAGCUGAGCUUUCCUGACAAGACAGGAGUGGAUGGGAACUCAAAG
This is a long non-coding RNA of Chiroxiphia lanceolata (lance-tailed manakin), 2396 nucleotides long. RefSeq lists it as uncharacterized. Lineage: Eukaryota; Metazoa; Chordata; Aves; Passeriformes; Pipridae. The record is from RefSeq and is a predicted model, not a curated record. The transcript has 3 exons.